Non-coding RNA from Pogona vitticeps (central bearded dragon), 252 nucleotides. The record is from RefSeq and is a predicted model, not a curated record. Lineage: Eukaryota; Metazoa; Chordata; Lepidosauria; Squamata; Agamidae.
CAGACUAAAAAGAGAGGGAAAAGAACACUCAGGAGGGAGUGCAACAGCAACCGUGAAGAGGCCCUUUCUCAACCCGCUCUUGGAGAAUAAAAGGCUUUAGGAGGAAACUCUCAAGGAAGCGGUAUAUUUUUCCCAGUGUCUCUCCUGCGACUCCACACCAGAGAGACCACUGGCUAUAAGACUGCAUUGCAAAUGAAUCUUAUGUGGGUGCUCCAUGCCUAUGAGUCAAUGCUGACGUCUACCAGACCCAAG